GCUUUUGUAGUGUAGUGGUUAUCACGUAUCCUUCACACGGAUGAGGUCCUCGGUUCGAACCCGAGCAAAAGCA
The sequence is a transfer RNA, 73 nucleotides long. It matches the Rfam family "tRNA". Rfam says of the family: Transfer RNA (tRNA) molecules are approximately 80 nucleotides in length. The record is from Rfam.